Esox lucius (northern pike) is the source of this 375-nucleotide long non-coding RNA. The record is from Ensembl. Lineage: Eukaryota; Metazoa; Chordata; Actinopteri; Esociformes; Esocidae.
CGUGCCCAACGUCAUGCCCUACGUUAACUGCGCUCACCGCGCCGCAAGAAAGGUCUUGUUGCAAAGACAGACGCAAAUCACGGGCUGUAGACAGCCUAUCGCUUUCGGGCAGCUGUGAUUGACCGUGCAAAGCAGCUUGUGUUUGGACAUCCCCAGCAAACAGAUGUGUAAAGAGUGGGAGACGACGUGAUUGACUAGGAGCCGGAGGAGAGAUCUCAUGAGGUGACUGGGGGUUCUCCUCUGUAGUGGCUGUUCCAGUGUUUACUAGUGCAACAGCUGCUUACUCUAGCUGCCACGGUUACAACAUUUUGUGCGGAGUGCCAAGCUGGAGCCCAAAAUAGCAGCCGGCAAUCAACGUUUUGCACUGCAUUCUGG